AAAGAUGAAAACCUACCCCCUCAAAAAUGGGCAUUAGGUAGAAUAAUUGAGUGUUAUCUGGGUGAAGAUAAAAGGGUCAGAGUUGUAAAAGUUAAAACACAAUCUGGAGUUUAUAAAAGAGCCAUUUCAAAAAUUUGUAUUUUACCUAUUGAUGUGUAAUCUUAUAUUAGUGUUCUUUAUUGUGUGAUUAAUGUUAUUACCUUGUAAUGUGUAGUGUUUAAAAUCUGAAUUUGUGUGUUUUUAUUCAGCAUUGUGCAUUGAAUUGUGAUAUUUCAUAGUUUUUCCUUGUGUGUGUGUGUUGACAACAUUAUGUCAAGGCGGGCGGUAUGUUCCGACCUGUCACUGUGCUGCCCUCUUGCGGCAAAAGGGAAAACACUUCAGUGUAUCGUGUAGCGUUAGCGAGUGUGUGUGCGGUAGCAGGGUAGCUGCUGCUAAGCAAUGAUGACCAGAAUAAAAGGAAAAAAGAGUCCAAAUUUAUUCUUGUGGUGUGAUUUUUUAAUAAUGUGAGAGCUAUCGACAUAAAUUUAGUGCAUGUGUAAUCAUAAUUAUUGUUAUAUUGCAUCUUUGAAAGUCUUAUUAACAUGAAGAACCAUAUUCAUAUUCAGUACUCUAUGUGCAUUUAAAGUUUGUAUUUGCCAGGUGUGGCUUUUGGUCAUGACAAGAAUGUUGUGAUGUAUUCUGAAUAUUGAGCAAUGGUGAUGUUUUUGGAGAUGACAAGAAUGUUGUGAUAUGUUUUGAAUAUUAUGCAGUGAUGGCACUUUUGGACAUUACACGGUAUACUUCUGAUGUUUUGAAUGUUGAACUAUGGUAAUGUUUUUGGAGUUUGACUUUGUUUGAUGGCGCAAGAGCCAUGAUGUUGGCUAUGCUGUGCCAGUUUUUUGAAAUGAUACAGAAUGUUCCUCAUAUGUUUUGAAUUUUGAACAAUGGUAAUGUUUUUGGAGUUUGACUUUGUUUGAUGGCGCAAGAGCCAUGAUGUUGGCUAUGCUGUGCCAGUUUUUUGAAAGGAUACAGAAUGUUCCUCAUAUGUUUUGAAUUUUGAACAAUGGUAAUGUUUUUGGAGUUUGACUUUGUUUGAUGGCGCCAGAGCCAUGAUGUUGGCUAUGCUGUGCCAGUUUUUUGGAAAUGAUACAGAAUGUUCCUCAUAUGUUUUGAAUUUUGAACAAUGGUAAUGUUUUUGGAGUUUGACUUUGUUUGAUGGCGCCAGAGCCAUGAUGUUGGCUAUGCUGUGCCAGUUUUUUGGAAAUGAUACAGAAUGUUCCUCAUAUGUUUUGAAUUUUGAACAAUGGUAAUGUUUUUGGAGUUUGACUUUGUUUGAUGGCGCCAGAGCCAUGAUGUUGGCUAUGCUGUGCCAGUUUUUUGGAAAUGAUACAGAAUGUUCCUCAUAUGUUUUGAAUUUUGAACAAUGGUAAUGUUUUUGGAGUUUGACUUUGUUUGAUGGCGCCAGAGCCAUGAUGUUGGCUAUGCUGUGCCAGUUUUUUGGAAAUGAUACAGAAUGUUCCUCAUAUGUUUUGAAUUUUGAACAAUGGUAAUGUUUUUGGAGUUUGUUUGAUGGCGCAAGAGCCAUGAUGUUGACUAUGCUGUGCCAUUUUUUGGAAAUGAUACAGAAUGUUCCUCAUAUGUUUUGAAUUUUGAACAAUGGUAAUGUUUUUGGAGUUUGUUUGAUGGCGCAAGAGCCAUGAUGUUGACUAUGCUGUGCCAUUUUUUGGAAAUGAUACAGAAUGUUCCUGAUAUGUUUUGAAUUUUGAACAAUGGUAAUGUUUUUGGAGUUUGUUUGAUGGCACAAGAGCCAUGAUGUUGACUAUGCUGUGCCAUUUUUUGGAAAUGAUACAGAAUGUUCCUCAUAUGUUUUGAAUUUUGAACAAUGGUAAUGUUUUUGGAGUUUGUUUGAUGGCGCAAGAGCCAUGAUGUUGACUAUGCUGUGCCAUUUUUUGGCAAUGAUACAGAAUGUUCCUGAUAUGUUUUGAAUUUUGAACAAUGGUAAUGUUUUUGGAGUUUGUUUGAUGGCGCAAGAGCCAUGAUGUUGACUAUGCUGUGCCAUUUUUUGGAAAUGAUACAGAAUGUUCCUGAUAUGUUUUGAAUUUUGAACAAUGGUGAUGUUUUUGGAAAUGUCACAGAAUGUUCCUGAUAUGUUUUGAAUAUUGAACAAUGGUUAAUAUUAUAUGAACUUUUGCCUGAAAUGUUAAAAAUUAUAGAUUGCAUUGAAUGUAAUGUACAUAUAUGUUCUAAUUAAUAAA
This is a long non-coding RNA of Argiope bruennichi, 2234 nucleotides long. RefSeq lists it as uncharacterized. The record is from RefSeq and is a predicted model, not a curated record. The transcript is spliced from 16 exons. Lineage: Eukaryota; Metazoa; Arthropoda; Arachnida; Araneae; Araneidae.